UCGGCACCGAGCGAGGCAUGUUAGCGAUGCCUGGCGAGAGGGAAUCCGGUGAGAAUCCGGAACUGUCCCGCAGCGGUAUGCAGGAACGACCGCCGUCAACAGCACUGGUCACAUGACUGGGAAGCGACGGCCACUAGGAGCACCACCGAGGUGCGCGCCUGUGAGUCCGAAGACCUGCCAGCCGUGCCGGGCGCGC
Non-coding RNA from Mycobacterium kansasii, 196 nucleotides. The record is from Rfam. NCBI's taxonomy places the organism in Bacteria, Bacillati, Actinomycetota, Actinomycetes, Mycobacteriales, Mycobacteriaceae.